UAAACUCAAAGGAAUUGACGGGGYCMGCACAAGCAGCRGAGCAUGUGGUUUAAUUCGAAGCAACGCGAAGAACCUUACCUAGACUUGACAUCUCCUGAAUUACCCUUAACCGGGGAAGGCCCUUCGGGGCAGGAAGACAGGUGGUGCAUGGUUGUCGUCAGCUCGUGUCGUGAGAUGUUGGGUUAAGUCCCGCAACGAGCGCAACCCUUAUCAUUAGUUGCUACCAUUAAGUUGAGCACUCUAGUGAGACUGCCACGGUUAACGUGGAGGAAGGUGGGGAUGACGUCAAAUCAUCAUGCCCCUUAUGUCUAGGGCUACACACGUGCUACAAUGGUGAGUACAAAGAGAUGCAAUACCGUGAGGUGGAGCCAAACUCAAAAACUCAUCCCAGUUCGGAUUGUAGGCUGAAACUCGCCUACAUGAAGCCGGAGUUGCUAGUAAUCGCGAAUCAGCAUGUCGCGGUGAAUACGUUCCCGGGCCUUGUACACACCGCCCGUCACACCAUGAGAGCUGGUAACACCCGAAGUCCGUGAGGUAACCCGCAAGGGAGCCAGCGGCCGAAGGUGGGAUUAGUGAUUGGGGUGAAGUCGUAACAAGGUAGCCGUAGGAGAACCUGCGGCUGGAUCACCUCCUUU
This 635-nucleotide non-coding RNA is filed under the name Clostridium sp. BL8. Its description in RNAcentral is "Bacterial small subunit ribosomal RNA". It matches the Rfam family "Bacterial small subunit ribosomal RNA", at positions 896 to 1533 of the family's 1533-position model. The record is from Rfam by way of RNAcentral. Lineage: Bacteria; Bacillati; Bacillota; Clostridia; Eubacteriales; Clostridiaceae.